Molecule: ribosomal RNA, 1095 nt
Filed under: Triticum aestivum (bread wheat)
Lineage: Eukaryota; Viridiplantae; Streptophyta; Magnoliopsida; Poales; Poaceae
Description: partial small subunit ribosomal RNA
Source: RNAcentral
AUGGCUUCCGCUGCGGCGUCGCGCCCCCCGGCCCCGCCGCCGCCGCCUCCCCCGCCCCCGCCGUCGGCCGCGAUGCAGUGGCUCGGCCCGCGCGUCUCCUUCAGCCUCGAGGACGCCGGCGGGUGCGCGGCCGCGGGGGGUGCGGGAGCGGGGAAGGCGAGCGCCGACUUCGAGUUCCUGCUCGCCGGGUGCUCCGCCGUGUCCACCAUGCUCCCCGCCGACGAGCUCUUCUCCGGGGGCAAGCUCGUGCCGCUCCGCCUCCCGUCUUCGAGCGGCUGUUCGUCGGAGGUGGUGGUGACCACGCGGCCUCCGCCGGCGCCGGCGACGACAACGCAGCAGCAGCAGCCCGAGACGCCGAGGGCGGAGGAGGAGACGAAGGAGGCGGUGGUGGAGGCGGAGCAGGCGGCGGAGGAGCCCAAGGUUCCGGCCAGGAGGUGGAGGGACCUGCUCCGGAUGCGGAAGCAGCAGGCGUCGUCGUCGUCCUCCUCGUCCACAGAGACCAAGCAGCCGCUCCGCCGCCUCCUCCGCCGCGGGCCGAAGCCGCCCGAGCAGGAGCCGUCCCUCAGCCUCCCGCUCCUCCGCGACCCCAACGAGCCCGCGCCGGCACCCGCAUCGGCCCCAACUCCAUCACCGACCCCGCCGCCUCCCGUCAGCACGUCGCAGCACCAGCUGCCGCCCAAGAUCCGGCUCACGGCGGCGCAGGCGGCCGCGCCGCCACCCCCGCCUCCGCCUCCUCCGCCUCCCCCCUCCGCCGUGGCCGCCGACAGCCCGCGCCUGAACGCGGCCGGCAAGGUGGUGUUCAACGGGCUGGGCCGCAGCUCCAGCAGCCCGAGCAGCCUGGCGGGCGGGCGGCGCCACCGGUCCGGCUCCGGCGGCAGCGGCAUGGAGCGGUCCUACUCGGCGCACGUGCGCGUGACGCCGGUGCUGAACGUGCCCGUCUGCCGCAAGUCCGUCUCCGUGUUCGGCAUCGACCGGCUCUUCUCCCCGUCGUCCGCGUCCACCGCCGCCGCCGCCCACGCCGCCGCCAAGAAGCAGGGGAAGGUGGCCAAGAAGGAGGCAACCGCACCACCACCACCACCAUCCUCCUCGCAUUAA